GUGUUUGUAGAAAGGAUAGAUGGUUGGCAUCUCCUCCGAUAGGGAUGGGAAGGCACUUCGAGUUGUACCUGUUACCAGACACUAUAUCUCUGU
This is a non-coding RNA of Nicotiana tabacum (common tobacco), 93 nucleotides long. The record is from Rfam. Lineage: Eukaryota; Viridiplantae; Streptophyta; Magnoliopsida; Solanales; Solanaceae.